RNAcentral lists this ribosomal RNA (497 nucleotides) under uncultured bacterium. Its description in RNAcentral is "partial 16S ribosomal RNA". It matches the Rfam family "Bacterial small subunit ribosomal RNA", at positions 28 to 507 of the family's 1533-position model. The record is from RNAcentral.
GAUGAACGCUGGCGGCGUGCCUAAUACAUGCAAGUCGAGCGAACAGACGAGGAGCUUGCUCCUCUGCCGGUAGCGGCGGACGGGCGAGUAACACGUGGAUAACCUACCUAUAAGUCUGGGAUAACUUCGGGAAACCGGAGCUACUACCGGAUAAUAUAUUGAACCGCAUGGUUCAAUAGUGAAUGACGGUUUUGCUGACACUUAUAGCUGGAUCCGCGCCGCAUUAGCUAGUUGGUAAGGUAACGGCUUACCAAGGCGACGAUGCGUAGCCGACCUGAGAGGGUGAUCAGCCACACUGGAACUGAGACACGGUCCAGACUCCUACGGGAGGCAGCUGUAGGGAAUCUUCGGCAAUGGGCGAAAGCCUGACCGAGCAAUGCCGCGUGAGUGAUGAAGGUCUUCGGAUCGUAAAGCUCUGUUAUUAGGGAAGAACAAAUGUGUAAGUAACCAUGCACGUCUUGACGGUACCUAAACAAAAAGCCACGGCUAACUACGUG